GACGAACGCUGGCGGCGUGCUUAACACAUGCAAGUCGAACGGUGAAGGGACCAGCUUGCUGGUUCUGGAUGAGUGGCGAACGGGUGAGUAACACGUGAGUAACCUGCCCCCUUCUUCUGGAUAACCGCAUGAAAGUGUGGCUAAUACGGGAUAUUCUGGGUCUGUCGCAUGGCGGGCCCGGGAAAGAUAUUGCUUCGGUGGGGGAUGGGCUCGCGGCCUAUCAGCUUGUUGGUGGGGUGAUGGCCUACCAAGGCGGUGACGGGUAGCCGGCCUGAGAGGGUGACCGGCCACAUUGGGACUGAGAUACGGCCCAGACUCCUACGGGAGGCAGCAGUGGGGAAUAUUGCACAAUGGGCGGAAGCCUGAUGCAGCAACGCCGCGUGCGGGAUGACGGCCUUCGGGUUGUAAACCGCUUUCGCCUGUGACGAAGCGUGAGUGACGGUAAUGGGUAAAGAAGCACCGGCUAACUACGUG
This 474-nucleotide ribosomal RNA is filed under the name uncultured bacterium. Its description in RNAcentral is "partial 16S ribosomal RNA". It matches the Rfam family "Bacterial small subunit ribosomal RNA", at positions 28 to 507 of the family's 1533-position model. The record is from RNAcentral.